AUGAUCUGGAGACAAAACCAGGAAAUGGAAACUCACUAAGCUGUUUGUUUUUGCGACCUACUGUACAUAUCGAUUUACAAAAACGACUUAAAGUAGAAGAAAAAAAGGAAAUAAGGCGUGACAGAAAGGGUUUUUUAACGGUUUGUUUAAACAAAUAAAAAACAUAAUAAAUAACAUUCAUAGUAACAUACAGUUUUUAGGCUUUUCUAGUUAUUAAAAAACUUAUCUAAAGGUGUUUAUUGGUGAGACAGUAUAUAAAAAACGGACAAUACACACUGACACGCUCACACAUACACUCGCGCGCGCGCACACACACACACACACACACACACACACACACUAAACAGACAGUUAUUAAAUUUGUAUUGGAAGCAGGUAAAAUGGGCAAGCAUAAGGAUCUGAGUGACUUGGACAAGGGCCAAAUUGUGAUGUCUAGACGACUGGCUCAGAGGAUCUCUGAAACUGGUCUUGUGGGAUUUUCCAAAUGGGGAGAACAAUGCUGUUCUAUAUCCACACUGUGAUACGGCAAUCUUCAUGAUGCUCUCAUUAGUUCUCCGACAGAAUGUAGUGAAGAUAAAUCACCAGACUAUGCUGGACUUGGACCCUUGCAACAGGAAUCUGGCACUCACCAUAAGAGUUGAUGAUGACAUUAUAUGUAUUUGUCCUUGUGUGGUGUGGUGGAUCCAGAGCGUAUCUGGCCAUGGAUGUGGCAGUCAAUCCCAAUUUACACACACACACACACACACACACACACACACACACACACACACACACACACACACACUGAGAAGCUAUGUUUGUGUUUCCAAAUCUAAUACACACACACACACACACAACUGCAAAUGGCUAUUCUAUGAUAAGGACAUUUUUGAACAAUCUGGAAUAUACAAAUAUCCUAUUAUAGUGAUAAAGUGCAAUGUAAUGCAAAUUACAAAGCAUGAUCAAGCUGCCAUUUUAAGUAUUCAAGGCAACGGCUGCCAAGUUUAUUUCCAAAAGCUGUUUGAUUACACUGGCAGUAAUCAAGGGCCAAUUCAUAUCCAAUUUGCCAUAAAAAUCCUUUAUGAUUUCAAAGAAUACCCACAACAGCUGUGUACCAAAUGUCUCUUCGAUGGACAGCAGGUGACAAAAGCAUAAAUGGAAAUGGAGAAAUGAGUUUAAUGUUGUGGUUAAGAACAUAACUGUUUUUUUCCAGGAGACAUUUACUAGAUAACAUUAUGCAAUUAAUUAAUUGACUACGAAACUAUUUUAUAGCUUUUUGAGCAGUGCACCAGAAGACAUUAUAUUUUAGUUCUGAUUUUUCAUGUAAGAUCAUUAAGCAUUUGUAUAUGGGAAUGUUUACGUGCGAAGGAAUAAGCAUACUUCCAUUUCGGUACUAAAAUAAAUCUUCAUGCUAUAGUCUUUUUUUAGAUAGCAUGCACCCAGUGUCCUAAUUCCAUUGGCUGGCAGCAUCAGUGAUGUGUGAAUGUGAAGUGCCAAUCAUGCACAAUCGUGCCAAUCAUAGUGUUCACAUAGCAGUCUGUUUCCUUAUGUAGGCACAGCGGCACUCUCUGUUUUAAGCAAACUGAGACAGUCGAAACAUUUAGACCUGACCUCAUUCCUUCUCUGGUGUAUAUAUGAUCUUGUAUAUAGGAUAUACUGAAGUUAUAUUACUUGGGAAAAUGUAAAUGAGUAGUUUAGAGUAGUGUUUGAUCUAUAAGUGUUAUGUCGAAAAAAGGAGAGAGGUUAAGCAAAAUUAGCAAACUCUAAUGCUAUGUUAGUUCGAUUCAAAUUGAGGCUAAAUGAUCUCUUAAUUACACAGGCAGACAGUGACCCAGCAGCGGUGAAUGACAAUGAAGACGAAUGGGCACAAAUGGGGUUUAAUGAUGCACUUUCUGUUUACAAAGGUCCCCUGAGGCAUUAAUCAAUUAUCCCAUGCUAACACUCACACUCUCUCUGUGUGUCUCUUCCUCUCUCUCUCUCUCUCUCUCUCUCUCUCUCUCUCUCUCUCUCUCUCUCUCUCUCUCACUCUCUCUCUGUCUCCUCUCUCUGUAUGAAAUUCAAAGCGACAACCCCUUCUCAUUUUGCUAAACUUCUGGACUAUAAAGCCUAAGUAACUGUAUUCACUUCAGUGAGCCCUGACCUCAGCUCUUAGCACUUAAUAUAUAAUAAAUGCCCUCUCCCACCCACUAGGAGUUAUUACAUACAGAGCAAAGCCAUUAAUAUGAAUAGACCUUAAAUAUGUCCGAUGCAAUUACAUUAUUUACUCAACCCAGAGAGGCUUAAAGCACAACUCCAAGAGAGCUCUGUCCCUUAAUGCACAUUCAUAUGCAUACAAGCAUUUCAAUUCCUCCUCAUUCAUCUUCACUAUCUAAAAUGAGACUGCUGAUUCACUUGGAGGGAGGAACACAAUAUAAUUCAAUUCAUUACCCAGUCAUUCUAGUUUAACAAACAGCUCAUAUCAUAAAGAAUGGAAGGAAAACCUGAUGUGGACAAUAGUCAUGUCACAAAACAUUUCAGUCAACAUCAUUGCUUUUUUUAUACCACAGAGCUGUUAAAUUCUCAAAUCCGAUUGGUCAGAUGGUUGUUUUGACAUCAGCUCUGAUGGAUAUGAUACAAUUCACAGGGUUUUACGUUCUUGUUAUAAGAUAUUCAUGUUGUUAUAGUAACAGCUUAUUCACAGGGACUUGUAUGGCAACUGAUCCAUAUAAUAAAACAAAUCCAAUACAAA
Tachysurus fulvidraco (yellow catfish) is the source of this 2707-nucleotide long non-coding RNA. RefSeq lists it as uncharacterized. The transcript is spliced from 2 exons. NCBI's taxonomy places the organism in Eukaryota, Metazoa, Chordata, Actinopteri, Siluriformes, Bagridae. The record is from RefSeq and is a predicted model, not a curated record.